UCGAUCGAUGAAUGACCGAUCGCUUGCACGGUUGGAUUAGUGGCGAACGGGUGAGUAUCACGUGAGUAACCUUCCCUUGACUCUGGGAUAAGCCCGGGAAACUGGGUCUAAUACCGGAUACGACCAGUCCUCGCAUGGGGUGCUGGUGGAAAGAUUUAUCGGUCUUGGAUGGACUCGCGGCCUAUCAGCUUGUUGGUGAGGUAAUGGCUCACCAAGGCGAUGACGGGUAGCCGGCCUGAGAGGGUGACCGGCCACACUGGGACUGAGACACGGCCCAGACUCCUACGGGAGGCAGCAGUGGGGAAUAUUGCACAAUGGGCGAAAGCCUGAUGCAGCGACGCCGCGUGCGGGAUGACGGCCUUCGGGUUGUAAACCGCUUUCAGCAGGGAAGAAGCGAGAGUGACGGUACCUGCAGAAGAAGCGCCGGCUAACUACGUGCCAGCAGCCGCGGUAAUACGUAGGGCGCGAGCGUUAUCCGGAAUUAUUGGGCGUAAAGAGCUCGUAGGCGGUUUGUCACGUCUGCUGUGAAAGCCCGAGGCUCAACCUCGGGUGUGCAGUGGGUACGGGCAGACUAGAGUGCAGUAGGGGAGACUGGAAUUCCUGGUGUAGCGGUGAAAUGCGCAAGUAUCUUGAGGAACACC
RNAcentral lists this ribosomal RNA (641 nucleotides) under Nesterenkonia sp. SCULCB HNA-23. RNAcentral describes it as "bacterial SSU rRNA". It matches the Rfam family "Bacterial small subunit ribosomal RNA", at positions 62 to 710 of the family's 1533-position model. The record is from RNAcentral. Lineage: Bacteria; Bacillati; Actinomycetota; Actinomycetes; Micrococcales; Micrococcaceae.